This is a long non-coding RNA of Pyrus x bretschneideri (Chinese white pear), 245 nucleotides long. RefSeq lists it as uncharacterized. NCBI's taxonomy places the organism in Eukaryota, Viridiplantae, Streptophyta, Magnoliopsida, Rosales, Rosaceae. The record is from RefSeq and is a predicted model, not a curated record. The transcript has 2 exons.
CCAUAUUUAAACCCCUCUCUUUCCCAUUUCAACCGUGCUUUCAUUUCUCCCCCAAUUUCAGACUUUCUUCUUCUCCUUCCCCAUUUCAUCUGUGCGUCCCCUUCUUCCUCCUUUUCAUUUUUUCCUCAACUCCUUCCCCGUUUGCUUUGGAUCACCAGUUUGAAGAUCAACAUUCUGAAGAACUCCAAUUCGAGGAGGAAGAGCUUGAAGAGCAAGGACACUGGAAAUCGCAGAUCCAUAAUUUU